Molecule: ribosomal RNA, 385 nt
Filed under: uncultured bacterium
Lineage: Bacteria
Description: bacterial SSU rRNA
Rfam family: Bacterial small subunit ribosomal RNA
Source: RNAcentral
AAUGGAGGAAACUCUGAUGCAGCGACGCCGCGUGAAGGAUGAAGUAUUUCGGUAUGUAAACUUCUAUCAGCAGGGAAGAAAAUGACGGUACCUGACUAAGAAGCCCCGGCUAACUACGUGCCAGCAGCCGCGGUAAUACGUAGGGGGCAAGCGUUAUCCGGAUUUACUGGGUGUAAAGGGAGCGUAGACGGCACGGCAAGCCAGAUGUGAAAGCCCGGGGCUCAACCCCGGGACUGCAUUUGGAACUGCUGAGCUAGAGUGUCGGAGAGGCAAGUGGAAUUCCUAGUGUAGCGGUGAAAUGCGUAGAUAUUAGGAGGAACACCAGUGGCGAAGGCGGCUUGCUGGACGAUGACUGACGUUGAGGCUCGAAAGCGUGGGGAGCAAA